Molecule: transfer RNA, 73 nt
Filed under: Delma torquata
Lineage: Eukaryota; Metazoa; Chordata; Lepidosauria; Squamata; Pygopodidae
Description: tRNA-Asn
Source: RNAcentral
UAGAUUGAAGCCCGCUGGUUUGGGCUUUUAGUUGUUAACUAAAGGUUUAUGGGAUCAAGGCCCGUCGAUCUAG